This 539-nucleotide ribosomal RNA is filed under the name Montfortula fujitai. RNAcentral's name for it is "Emarginula foveolata fujitai partial 16S ribosomal RNA". It matches the Rfam family "Bacterial large subunit ribosomal RNA", at positions 1817 to 2601 of the family's 2925-position model. Lineage: Eukaryota; Metazoa; Mollusca; Gastropoda; Lepetellida; Fissurellidae. The record is from RNAcentral.
GGCUCUUUGUUUUAAUUUUUAGAUAGAGAGUCUGGCCUGCCCGGUGAUCUAAGGUAUUAAACGGCCGCGGUAUAUUAACUGUGCGAAGGUAGCGUAAUAAUUUGCCUAUUGAUUGUGGGCUAGUAUGAAUGGCUUGACGAGGGCUGAGCUGUCUCUUCAUAGUAUAUUUAGAAUUUGGUUUUUAGGUGAAAAUGCCUAAAUGUAGCUAAGGGACGAUAAGACCCUGUCGAGCUUAAGUGAAGUUUUGGAGGCGGACUAUUCAAAUUUGAAUGUGAUUUGUUUGCUGAAGUGAAUCUUUGACUGGGGCGGUUGAGAAGUAGGAUAAACCUUUUGUGUAAUUUGUUUGCUUAUUGGCAUAAGAUCGAGUGAUGUAAAGUGUAUUACGUAGCAUAAGAGAGAGUUACCGCAGGGAUAACAGCGUAAUUCUUUUGGAGAGUUCUUAUUGAUAAAAGAGUUUGCGACCUCGAUGUUGGAUUAAGGUUUCCUGAAGGUGUAGAAGCUUUUGAGGGUAAGUCUGUUCGACUAUUAAAAUCUUACAU